CAAUAGCGUAUACUAAUGUUGUUGCAGUUAAAAAGCUCGUAGUUGAACUUCUGGUAGGAGUGUCCCGGCCUUUUUGUUUUUACAAAUUGUAUGCUGUGUGACAUCUCUGGCCAUCCUUCUUCUUUGUUUAAAGGAGAUCUUUCACUGUAAAAAAAUUAGGGUGUUCAAAGCAAAAGUUUCUUUGGAAUAUAUUAGUAUGGGAUGAUAAGAUAGGCUCUAGAUGCUAUUUUGUUGGUUUGCACAUUUAGAGAAUGAUUAACAGGGACAGUUGGGGGUAUUCGUAUUUACAUGUCAGAGGUGAAAUUCUUGGAUUUUGGAAAGACGAACUACUGCGAAAGCAUUUACCAAGGAUGUUUUCAUUAA
Molecule: ribosomal RNA, 363 nt
Filed under: uncultured eukaryote
Lineage: Eukaryota
Description: partial 18S ribosomal RNA
Rfam family: Eukaryotic small subunit ribosomal RNA
Source: RNAcentral